RNAcentral lists this ribosomal RNA (253 nucleotides) under uncultured bacterium. Its description in RNAcentral is "partial 16S ribosomal RNA". It matches the Rfam family "Bacterial small subunit ribosomal RNA", at positions 524 to 776 of the family's 1533-position model. The record is from RNAcentral.
UACGAAGGGGGCUAGCGUUGCUCGGAAUCACUGGGCGUAAAGCGCACGUAGGCGGCUUGUUAAGUCAGAGGUGAAAUCCUGGAGCUCAACUCCAGAACUGCCUUUGAUACUGAAAGUCUUGAGUACGGGAGAGGUGAGUGGAACUGCGAGUGUAGAGGUGAAAUUCGUAGAUAUUCGCAAGAACACCAGUGGCGAAGGCGGCUCACUGGCCCGUAACUGACGCUGAGGCACGAAAGCGUGGGGAGCAAACAGG